This 411-nucleotide ribosomal RNA is filed under the name Serratia marcescens. Its description in RNAcentral is "bacterial SSU rRNA". It matches the Rfam family "Bacterial small subunit ribosomal RNA", at positions 90 to 497 of the family's 1533-position model. The record is from RNAcentral. Lineage: Bacteria; Pseudomonadati; Pseudomonadota; Gammaproteobacteria; Enterobacterales; Yersiniaceae.
GACGAGCGGCGGACGGGUGAGUAAUGUCUGGGAAACUGCCUGAUGGAGGGGGAUAACUACUGGAAACGGUAGCUAAUACCGCAUAACGUCGCAAGACCAAAGAGGGGGACCUUCGGGCCUCUUGCCAUCAGAUGUGCCCAGAUGGGAUUAGCUAGUAGGUGGGGUAAUGGCUCACCUAGGCGACGAUCCCUAGCUGGUCUGAGAGGAUGACCAGCCACACUGGAACUGAGACACGGUCCAGACUCCUACGGGAGGCAGCAGUGGGGAAUAUUGCACAAUGGGCGCAAGCCUGAUGCAGCCAUGCCGCGUGUGUGAAGAAGGCCUUCGGGUUGUAAAGCACUUUCAGCGAGGAGGAAGGUGGUGAACUUAAUACAUUCAUCAAUUGACGUUACUCGCACAAAAAACACCGGC